Long non-coding RNA from Nerophis lumbriciformis (worm pipefish), 1504 nucleotides. RefSeq lists it as uncharacterized. Lineage: Eukaryota; Metazoa; Chordata; Actinopteri; Syngnathiformes; Syngnathidae. The record is from RefSeq and is a predicted model, not a curated record.
GCUGAUGGUGAUUCCCAACUCCACUCCUGGUUUCUUUGGAAGCUUCACGUGAAAUGUUCCCGAGGACGGAAUGACCGACUCUGAAAUAAACAAAGCCGGACACCUCAAAACGCACGUAAACCCCAGCCUGUGUACUGUAUGUGUGCGUGCGUGCUUACCAGCCACAUCAAACUCGAUCUCCAGGGAUGCCACACCUCCACACAAAUACAACAUUAGCUGUUAGUAAACCUGGUGUAUGUGCCGAGUGGUUACCUCUCAGCGGGACUGUCGGGGUCGAUGUAGGCGAUGAGUGGCGGCGAAGACAGCGUCUCGGUGGCGAAGACUCCGCCUUGCAGCUGAAGGCCAAAGCCCAUGAUGCCGUCGCCUAGCAACGCCACCUCCGUGGUUUCCGUGUGCACCACCUGACCGGCAAGACCCACAGUGCUGGACGCCAAAGACACUGAGAGAGCACGCAUGAGUAUCAUCUCGCCAUAGUGGCCAUGUCAUCAUCUCAUCAUGGUAUGAGACUCACAGGAACUCUUAAAGUCCUUCUUCUUCUGCUUCUUCCUCAUCAGCGUGCCCCGUGGACUUGUGGGAUACGCGCUCCUGGGCAGGGUGCUCAUGUUGAGGGACGAGAGACUGUAGGCCGACAUGGAACCCGGCGAGAACGAGUGGCUGAGCGCUGCAUUGUGGAAAGACGGGAAGAACAUGGAGGUGGACAGAGCCACGCCCAGACUGGAGCCCGUCGCCUUGGCAACCUCCACCAGCAGUGGGCCGGACGCCGUGGCGACCGAGUCUUGACAGAAGGUUAAAGGUCAGGCGAUAGCUCCCAUGUGGAUGUCACAGGUGAUGCGUCAUCUUCUCACCCAUGACGGACACGUCGUACUCUAAGAGCAGCGUGGCUUCCUGACCGCACUGCUUAAGGAUAUUCAUGGCCUCUGACAGCGUGUUGCCAUGGAGACGGAUCCCAUCGAUGCUCAGCAAGCGAUCGCCCGGCUUGAUGGUUCCCUCCCUGCGGAGGGAGAAAGAGGGCCGAGUGAGAGGGUCCACGGUACGUGAACACACGAUCAAGGUGGCUCACCUGUCUGCGGACCCGCCUGGGCGAAUGGUUGUUAUGACGAUGGGCCGGGACUUGUUCCUGUCUUCAGUGGCUCCGCCUACAUGACAGGAAGUCAUACCAUGUCAUGUCGUUUUGCCACGCACGCACGCACGCACACACCUCUGAUGAUGAAGCCGAAGCUGUUUCCAUCUUUGUGCAGCGUCACCUCCACGGUCUUGAACAUGACCCCUGACCCCUGCACGCCUGCAAGUGCACACACGAACAACACGUCACUCUCACGCCAACGCCACGUGUCCUGCGCGUGCUAGGAUGGGCGGCGUCACGCACAGACGGGCGGCAGCUCGUACUCCACCUCCAGCACCACGCGCUCGCCCACGUUCUUUAGCAAACUGAUGAUCUCGUCAUGACGGAACUUGGCCAAGUUGAUGCCGUUCACUGCGCGGAUGUAGUCACCAACGUUGAGCU